ACGGGUGAGUAACGCGUAGGAAUAUGCCUUAAAGUGGGGGACAACUGGGGGAAACUCAAGCUAAUACCGCAUAAUGUCUACGGACAAAAGCUGGGGACCUUCGGGCCUGGCGCUUUAAGAUUAGCCUGCGUCCGAUUAGCUAGUUGGUAGGGUAAAGGCCUACCAAGGCGACGAUCGGUAGCUGGUCUGAGAGGAUGGCCAGCCACACUGGAACUGAGACACGGUCUAGACUCCUACGGGAGGCAGCAGUGGGGAAUAUUGGACAAUGGGGGCAACCCUGAUCCAGCAAUGCCGCGUGUGUGAAGAAGGCCUGAGGGUUGUAAAGCACUUUCAGUGGGGAGGAGGGGUGCCAGGUUAAGAGCUAGGUAUCUGGACGUUACCCACAGAAGAAGCACCGGCUAACUCCGUGCCAGCAGCCGCGGUAAUACGGAGGGUGCAAGCGUUAAUCGGAAUUACUGGGCGUAAAGAGUGCGUAGGUGGUUUGAUAAGUUAUCUGUGAAAUCCCUGGGCUUAACCUGGGCAGGUCAGAUAAUACUGUUGAACUCGAGUAUGGGAGAGGGUAGUGGAAUUUCCGGUGU
RNAcentral lists this ribosomal RNA (578 nucleotides) under uncultured bacterium. RNAcentral's name for it is "bacterial SSU rRNA". It matches the Rfam family "Bacterial small subunit ribosomal RNA", at positions 102 to 676 of the family's 1533-position model. The record is from RNAcentral.